RNAcentral lists this ribosomal RNA (1027 nucleotides) under Byssosphaeria schiedermayeriana. RNAcentral describes it as "eukaryotic LSU rRNA". It matches the Rfam family "Eukaryotic large subunit ribosomal RNA", at positions 46 to 1096 of the family's 3401-position model. The record is from RNAcentral. Lineage: Eukaryota; Fungi; Ascomycota; Dothideomycetes; Pleosporales; Melanommataceae.
AUAAGCGGAGGAAAAGAAACCAACAGGGAUUGCCCCAGUAACGGCGAGUGAAGCGGCAAUAGCUCAAAUUUGAAAUCUGGCUCCUUUGGGGCCCGAGUUGUAAUUUGGAGAGGGUGCUUUGGUGUCGGCAGCAGCCUAAGUUCCUUGGAACAGGUCAUCAUAGAGGGUGAGAAUCCCGUAUGUGGCUGAUUGUCUUCGCCAUGUAAAGCCCCUUCGACGAGUCGAGUUGUUUGGGAAUGCAGCUCUAAAUGGGAGGUAAAUUUCUUCUAAAGCUAAAUAUUGGCCAGAGACCGAUAGCGCACAAGUAGAGUGAUCGAAAGAUGAAAAGCACUUUGGAAAGAGAGUCAAAAAGCACGUGAAAUUGUUGAAAGGGAAGCGCUUGCAGCCAGACGUGCCCGUAGUUGCUCAUCUGGGGAUUUCCCCAGUGCACUCUUCUAUGGGCAGGCCAGCAUCAGUCCGGGCGGUUGGAGAAAGGCCUGUGUCACGUAGCUGCUUUCGGGCAGUGUUAUAGGGCAGGUGGAAUACGACCAGCCUGGACUGAGGUCCGCGCAUCUGCUAGGAUGCUGGCGUAAUGGCUGUAAGCGGCCCGUCUUGAAACACGGACCAAGGAGUCUAACAUCUAUGCGAGUGUUUGGGUGUCAAGCCCGAGCGCGCAAUGAAAGUGAACGGAGGUGGGAACCCUCGGGUGCACCAUCGACCGAUCCUGAUGUCUUCGGAUGGAUUUGAGUAAGAGCAUAGCUGUUGGGACCCGAAAGAUGGUGAACUAUGCCUGAAUAGGGUGAAGCCAGAGGAAACUCUGGUGGAGGCUCGCAGCGGUUCUGACGUGCAAAUCGAUCGUCAAAUUUGGGCAUAGGGGCGAAAGACUAAUCGAACUAUCUAGUAGCUGGUUCCUGCCGAAGUUUCCCUCAGGAUAGCAGUAACGUUUUCAGUUUUAUGAGGUAAAGCGAAUGAUUAGAGGCCUGGGGGCUGAAACAGCCUUCACCUAUUCUCAAACUUUAAAUAUGUAAGAAGUCCUUGUUUCUUCAUU